Molecule: ribosomal RNA, 485 nt
Filed under: uncultured bacterium
Lineage: Bacteria
Description: partial 16S ribosomal RNA
Rfam family: Bacterial small subunit ribosomal RNA
Source: RNAcentral
GAUGAACGCUGGCGGCGUGCUUAACACAUGCAAGUCGAACGGGAUCCAAGGGGUGCUUGCACUUUUUGGUGAGAGUGGCGAACGGGUGAGUAACACGUGAGUAACCUGUCCUUUUCUUUGGGAUAAGCAUUCGAAAGGGUGUUUAAUACCUUAUGUUCUGUCUGCCUCGCAUGGGGUGGGUGGGAAAGGCUUUGGCCGGAUUUGGGUGGGCUCGCGGUCUAUCAGCUUGUUGGUGGGGUGAUGGCUUACCAAGGCUUUGACGGGUAGCCGGCCUGAGAGGGUGGUCGGUCACAUUGGGACUGAGAUACGGCCCAGACUCCUGCGGGAGGCAGCAGUGGAGGAUAUUGCACAAUGGGCGAAAGCCUGAUGCAGCGACGCCGCGUGGGGGAUGAAGGCCUUCGGGUUGUAAACUUCUUUUGCUCUGAACAAGGCAUGCCAGUGGGUGUGUGGAGUGUAGGGGUUGAUUAGCGCCGGCUAACUACGUG